GAUGAACGCUAGCGGGAGGCCUAACACAUGCAAGCCGAGCGGUAGAGCUUCUUCGGAAACUUGAGAGCGGCGCACGGGUGCGUAACACGUGUGCAACCUACCUUUAUCUGGGGGACAGGCUUUCGAAAGGAAGAUCAAUACCCCAUAAUAUAAAGAUUGGCAUCAAUUAUUAUCGAAAACUCCGGUGGAUAGAGAUGGGCACGCGCAAGAUUAGAUAGUUGGUGAGGUAACGGCUCACCAAGUCAACGAUCUUUAGGGGUCCUGAGAGGCAGAGCCGCCACACUUGUACUGCGACACGGACCCCACUCCUACGGGGGGGAGCGGUAUGGAAUAUUAGGCACGGGGGGAGAGCCUGAUCCAGCCAUCCCGCGUGAAGGAGGACGGUCCUAUUGAUUGUAAACUUCUUUUGAACAGGGAUAAACCUACCCUCGUGAGGGUAGCUGACGGUACUGUACGAAUAAGCACCGGCUAACUCCGUG
This 479-nucleotide ribosomal RNA is filed under the name uncultured bacterium. RNAcentral describes it as "partial 16S ribosomal RNA". It matches the Rfam family "Bacterial small subunit ribosomal RNA", at positions 28 to 507 of the family's 1533-position model. The record is from RNAcentral.